AUGUCCUGCGGUGGCGUCUUCCUCGGCGUCGACGCCGGCACCGGCAGCGCUCGUGCAGGACUCUUUGAUGACAAGGGUAAGUUGCUCGGGUCAGCGAGCAGCCCUAUACAGAUAUGGAAAGAGAGAGAUUGUGUAGAGCAAUCGUCAACGGAUAUCUGGCAUGCAGUGUGUGCUGCUGUAAAAUCUGCGUGCUCGUUGGCAAAUGUUGCUCCCGAGGAUGUUGUCGGCCUUGGCUUCACCGCUACCUGCUCCCUUGUUGCUGUGGGUGCUGAUGGUUCCCCUGUCUCGGUUUCUUGGAAUGGUGAUUCAAGAAGGGACAUCAUCGUGUGGAUGGACCAUAGGGCUCUCGACCAGGCUGAACGAAUUAAUUCUCACAGUUCACCGGUAUUGCAAUUUUAUGGCGGGAGUGUCUCCUCAGAAAUGCAAGCUCCAAAGCUUUUAUGGGUAAAGGAAAAUCUGCAAAAAACUUGGUCUAUGGUAUAUAGGUGGAUGGACCUCGGUAACUGGUUAACAUAUAGGGCAACUGGUGAUGAAACCCGCAGCUUAUCACACAUGGAACAGUGGAGGGAAUCAAAUCCACGUGGUAUGGAACCAUAUGGAACGGAUGAAGUCUUUUGGGCAGAAAUAGGUUUGGGAGACCUUUAUGAAGGGAGCCAGGCAAAAAUAGGACACUCCGUUGUGUUUCCUGGUCAUCCUCUAGGUUCUGGUUUGACACCUACUUCUGCAAAGGAGUUAGGCUUGCUUACUGGGACUCCUGUUGGAACUUCGCUUAUUGAUGCUUAUGCGGGGGGUCUUGGAGUCAUGGAAAGUGUGCCAGAUGUAGAAUUGAAAGCUGACAUGUUUGAUGAAGAAGCAAUAUGCCAUCGCAUGGUCUUGGUUUGCGGAACAUCUACAUGCCACAUGGUUGUUUCAAAGAAUAAGCUAUUUAUCCCUGGUGUCUGGGGACCAUUUUUGUCUGCGAUGAUACCUGAGUUUUGGCUCACGGAGUGUGGCCAAAGUGCAACUGGUGCUUUACUUGAUUACAUUGUUCAAAACCAUGCUGCGGCUCCCCUUCUGGCUAAUCAAGCUGCUUCUCAAAGUAUGUCCAUUUAUGAGUUGAUGAACAAGAUAUUGCUUUCGAUGGCACAUGAACAAAAUAUGCCUUUUCUUUCUGCCUUGAGUCAGGACACCCAUGUCCUUCCAGAUUUUCAUGGAAAUCGGUCCCCUGUGGCUGAUCCAAAAUCGAAAGGGGUGAUUUGUGGCUUGACACUUGAUACAAGUGAAAAACAUUUGGCGCUUCUGUACCUAGCAACAAUUCAAGGCAUUGCUUAUGGUACUCGUCAUAUUGUGGAGCAUUGUAAUGCUCACGCGCACAAGAUCGACACCCUUCUUGCGUGUGGCGGACUUUCAAAGAACUCCUUGUAUAUCCAAGAACAUGCAGAUAUCACAGGUUGUCCAAUAAUACUGCCUAGAGAAAACGAGAAUGUGCUUCUGGGUGCUGCUAUUCUGGGUGCUGUUGCUGCAAAGAAGUUCGCUGGUGUUCAUGGCGCAAUGAAAGCACUGAAUGCAGCAGGGAAGGUUGUGCGCCCGUCUUCGAAUCCUAGGGUGAAGAAAUACCAUGACGCCAAGUAUCAGAUAUUUAGGUCCCUGUAUGAGCAACAGCUCUCCCAUCGCUCAACCAUGGCGCAGGCAUUGCACUAG
Molecule: ribosomal RNA, 1680 nt
Filed under: Triticum aestivum (bread wheat)
Lineage: Eukaryota; Viridiplantae; Streptophyta; Magnoliopsida; Poales; Poaceae
Description: partial small subunit ribosomal RNA
Source: RNAcentral